This is a long non-coding RNA of Phyllostomus discolor (pale spear-nosed bat), 1181 nucleotides long. RefSeq lists it as uncharacterized. The record is from RefSeq and is a predicted model, not a curated record. The transcript is spliced from 2 exons. Lineage: Eukaryota; Metazoa; Chordata; Mammalia; Chiroptera; Phyllostomidae.
GGCUCAUCUCCACUUUCCCUUCCCAAGAACACAUAAACUUUUUGUUGUUAAUUCUACCCAUUUCCAGAAAGGAUAUGAAGCAGGAGACAGAGAGGCUAUUAGCAUCAGCAGGGAAUCCAUGUUGGCAAACUCAUGAAGAAUUACAUUUUCUUUCCAAGGGCCAAAUUUUGUCAGUUUAAGUAACCCCAACUCCUGGCUUAGUAAUUAGCAUACUUGGAUAUUGAGGGAGCCUCUGCCCCCUGUGGAAUUCAGCCUUAAAAUUAAGAAGCACAAAUGCAUAGUAAGAGCAAAAUCUUUGAUUUCAACAAGAAAAUGACUAGAAUGCACAGGGGGGAAAAAAGCAAGGAUUGAUUCAUUCACUGUUCCUCCCUAAAAGUAUUUUCUGCCUUCAAGUCUGGGCCGCUCACUGCCUAAUUGUGCAUUUACCUGACACUACUGUCUGCUGUAUUGCAUUGGUGGGACUAACCAUUCCUUUUGCCCAUCUAGCUUGCCCAGGUGGAACUAUUCAUAAAACAUAAAUUUAAAAAUAUGCCAAAAUCUCAAUCACCCUGAUAACCUCUACAGAUGAGGAUCUGAUAAGGAAAUAUGACCAAACUUGUACAGGUCUGGACUUCAAAAGAGAUCUGUGGGGACCAAGGAAGCGGGACACUUACCGAGCAUCUACUGCGGGCCCGGCAUGCAUUAGACAUACUAUCUUUCUUCAUUCUCACGGAAAAGUCUCAUAGGUUGUCCCAUUACCCAGGUUUGAAAACAGAGGCUCAGAAAGAACAACUCUUUCCUCUAAGCUCACGCAGGCAGAAAGGAGCUAGGAUUCACACCAGGCCUGACUGAGACAGCACCUAUCACAUUGCAGGCCUCUGUUUCCUUUUGCAAGGCACAGGCCAGGGACAAUUCCCUAGGUAACAGAGUGUGUGUGCGGGGGCUGGAUUUGUACGUUCCAGGGAGAUUCUCAUCUCCCUGCUCUAGUCACCACUGUUCCCUGCGCACACCGAGGGGCCUGGUUCUCAGCAGGCAGACCUCAGGCCUCCCCAACACUGUGCUUCUUCUCAAAGACAUGAGGUUCAGAGGCAAUACGAUCAGCAUCAAUAAGCUGAGCUAUUUGAAAAUUUGGGUUGAGAUCUUCUGUUUUCUACAGUGCCAGACUCCUACUUCUGGGGAUCAUUUUCGGUGGUCUGGUAUAA